GCUGGGUGCGGUGGCUCUCGCCUGUAAUCCCAGCACUUGGGAGGCCGAGGCAGGUGAAUCACCUGAGGUCAGGAGUUCGAGACCAGCCUGACCAAUAUGGUGAAAACCAGUCUUUA
This is an unclassified non-coding RNA of Macaca fascicularis (crab-eating macaque), 116 nucleotides long. It matches the Rfam family "Metazoan signal recognition particle RNA". From Rfam's summary of the family: The signal recognition particle (SRP) is a universally conserved ribonucleoprotein. It is involved in the co-translational targeting of proteins to membranes. The record is from Ensembl. Lineage: Eukaryota; Metazoa; Chordata; Mammalia; Primates; Cercopithecidae.